UCCUUAAUAAACCAACAAGACCUCAGAACUAAAAGGCCAAGGUGUAGGAUAUGGCUGCAGGAGUGGGCUUUCUGGACUCUAAAUGGGAGUCAGAUGUGAGGUCUCUUGUAUAGUGUCCUGCCUGAUUUAGUCAGGCCUCCCAGCCAAGAGAAAGGCUUGUCUUUAGCAUUCAGGUGAAUACAUGCCAUUACCCUCUGUGAACCAGGAGGUUAAGUACAUGCUGGAAGGGUUAUAGCACCUACAGCACCCCUGUGUCUAAUGCCAGCUCUUAACCAUCGCAGCUUUGUCCAUUUGCCAAGAAACUGGCCAGAAGAGGAGAAAAGUUGAAGGAGAGAGUUCUGGAAGUAGAUGGGCUUAAUAGUUCAUCUUUCAUGACUCAUUUUGGCUUAUUUUCUUUUGUGUUGCUUGUUUGAUCCAAGUUUGAAGGCCAGGCAUGUGUGUGUGGGUGUGUGUGAGAAAAGACAUAAGAAAAACACAUAUAAUUACUCUAUUAGCAGUGGAAAAGAAAGUGGAAGAGAAAAGCUUCUCCUCAGGUGGCAUAUUCUUUUAUUAGUUAAUAGAACAAAUAGGGAUUCUGCAGGUCUACAAGGAAACUGUUCUUUAGUCUUAAGAAACCCAGUACUGGUAAGCUCAAAAUUAAUAUGUUAAGGAGAAGGUGCAGCUCUCA
RNAcentral lists this long non-coding RNA (667 nucleotides) under Bos taurus (domestic cattle). RNAcentral describes it as "long non-coding RNA NONBTAT024141". The record is from RNAcentral. Lineage: Eukaryota; Metazoa; Chordata; Mammalia; Artiodactyla; Bovidae.